UUAAGUCAUUUUAUCGACAAUAGUGCGUUAGGUAAACUUUUUUGUCGUGGGUGAGCCAAUCAACACUGAAGCAUGGCAGUGGUACUACAGUGUGGUCGGAGACAAGAGUUGUCCUGUGGUGGAUACGUGGCGGCAAACAGUCAUUAACAGAUGCAAUGGAGGAGAAGACUGGAAGGCACAGCAGCUUGGACUCUGCCAGGUAGAGCGAAGGAGCAACUUUAUUUGAAGCCGAUCACUCGUUUGCUGGACUUGUAAGUGUUUUACUGAAUUGUGUAAUUUUUUUUAACUUAGGUUUUUUUUACUUAGUAUUUUUUUAGCUUUAUUGCUCAUUUUUUUAAUUUGUUAUAUAGUGCAAUCAUUG
Long non-coding RNA from Cynoglossus semilaevis (tongue sole), 361 nucleotides. RefSeq lists it as uncharacterized. The transcript is spliced from 3 exons. The record is from RefSeq and is a predicted model, not a curated record. Lineage: Eukaryota; Metazoa; Chordata; Actinopteri; Pleuronectiformes; Cynoglossidae.